Molecule: transfer RNA, 71 nt
Filed under: Bos taurus (domestic cattle)
Lineage: Eukaryota; Metazoa; Chordata; Mammalia; Artiodactyla; Bovidae
Also listed under: 2 other names
Rfam family: tRNA
About the family: Transfer RNA (tRNA) molecules are approximately 80 nucleotides in length. Their secondary structure includes four short double-helical elements and three loops (D, anti-codon, and T loops).
Source: Rfam by way of RNAcentral
UCCCUGUUGGCUCAGUGGUAAAGAAUUUGCCUGCCAAGCAGGAGACAUAGAUUCGAUCCCUGGAUCGGGAA